RNAcentral lists this long non-coding RNA (1108 nucleotides) under Marmota monax (woodchuck). The record is from RNAcentral. Lineage: Eukaryota; Metazoa; Chordata; Mammalia; Rodentia; Sciuridae.
CGGUGGUUCAGAUGCGGUGGUGCAAAGGAAAGGAGAUCGAGAAAGAAGCUGAGAAACAGUACCGGCCUUCUUCCUGGACAAAUCAGGGUUUUGUAUGUGUGUAUAAUCAGCGUUUUUUGUUUUAUUCCGGCCGCUCAGCUCAUUGAUCCCAGGGGCGCUAACCGCCGAGCCACAUCCCCAGCCCUCCUUAUUUAUAAGGCCUCUGGAUCCCUCAGCUGUGCCCCCGGGCCCCGCUGAUCAGUGUUUCUCUACAUCCACCUGCUUUAUGUCUUACGCUAGGCACAGCAAAAACGAGUAGGAGAAGAUUUCAAUGGGUGAAGAGAGGAAGAGUUAUUGAUUAAAAUGACACCGCAGUUUUCUGUUUUCUCCUUGCAUGCACGUGGGCACGUGGAGGAGGUUAUACCUUCUACAGCAGAGCCGAAGGAAAGUACUAAAGCCCAGUCCACCUAUCUCAGUACUUCCAGAAUUCAAGUCUUAGCUCCACCACAUUAUGUAGUUUUACCGUUUCCAGAGGCAAUGCUGCCAGUGAUUUCUUGGUAAGUUUUUCCAUAAAAAUAUCUUCAUUCACCCAUGGCUCCUUGUUUGUGCCGCAUUAUGUCUCCAUAUAUUUCUGUUUCUCACUCUGCCAGUGUAGUAUGCCCUGAGGUUAAACUUCAGGUAGACUGUGAAUGGUGUCAUUGUAAGGGGUCCUUGGAACAAACUUUGUCACCUUGCACUCAGGACUUUUAUUUGAAUAAACAAACCAAAAAUAAGUCCUCACUUUAUUUAGGUCAUAAAAUAGACCCCUAAAGUAAUUAAAUCUCCCAGGACUUAGCUGUUAUCUUGGCUGAUUGCUGAGAGCCACAGCCGAGUCUGUAUGGCCCCUGGCAUUUUGCCAACAGUAUUGAUUGACAGGCGAGGCAUUACUAUCGGCCUCUGCCGCAACUUUUGAGUUCUCGCACUAUUUUGGAGUUCUCCUGGGGAUUUCCGGGGAUUCCCCGAGAGUUCCCAUUGGUUGGGGAAGUGCAGGAGGAGGGAUUUCCGGGAGAGAUAUUUCCGCUGGGGGUUCCUGGACAAGCCUCUUGGAGUUGGGGAGGAUUCCCCGGGAGCUGUGUGUAGUGUUUUCCUG